AGGAAUGCCCACCACAAAAACAUGAGGAGCGAGUCAUCAAGCACGCACACAUGCAGCUCAAAACACUUUGCUUAGCCACGCCCCCACGGGAAACAGCAGUGACAAACUUUUAGCAAUGAACGAAAGUUUAACUAAGUCACACUGACCAUUAGAGUUGGUCAAU
This is a long non-coding RNA of Sapajus apella (tufted capuchin), 163 nucleotides long. RefSeq lists it as uncharacterized. NCBI's taxonomy places the organism in Eukaryota, Metazoa, Chordata, Mammalia, Primates, Cebidae. The record is from RefSeq and is a predicted model, not a curated record. The transcript has 3 exons.